Molecule: ribosomal RNA, 2931 nt
Filed under: Escherichia coli
Lineage: Bacteria; Pseudomonadati; Pseudomonadota; Gammaproteobacteria; Enterobacterales; Enterobacteriaceae
Description: bacterial LSU rRNA
Rfam family: Bacterial large subunit ribosomal RNA
Source: RNAcentral
GGGUUGUGAGGUUAAGCGACUAAGCGUACACGGUGGAUGCCCUGGCAGUCAGAGGCGAUGAAGGACGUGCUAAUCUGCGAUAAGCGUCGGUAAGGUGAUAUGAACCGUUAUAACCGGCGAUUUCCGAAUGGGGAAACCCAGUGUGUUUCGACACACUAUCAUUAACUGAAUCCAUAGGUUAAUGAGGCGAACCGGGGGAACUGAAACAUCUAAGUACCCCGAGGAAAAGAAAUCAACCGAGAUUCCCCCAGUAGCGGCGAGCGAACGGGGAGCAGCCCAGAGCCUGAAUCAGUAUGUGUGUUAGUGGAAGCGUCUGGAAAGGCGCGCGAUACAGGGUGACAGCCCCGUACACAAAAAUGCACAUAUUGUGAGCUCGAUGAGUAGGGCGGGACACGUGGUAUCCUGUCUGAAUAUGGGGGGACCAUCCUCCAAGGCUAAAUACUCCUGACUGACCGAUAGUGAACCAGUACCGUGAGGGAAAGGCGAAAAGAACCCCGGCGAGGGGAGUGAAAAAGAACCUGAAACCGUGUACGUACAAGCAGUGGGAGCACGCUUAGGCGUGUGACUGCGUACCUUUUGUAUAAUGGGUCAGCGACUUAUAUUCUGUAGCAAGGUUAACCGAAUAGGGGAGCCGAAGGGAAACCGAGUCUUAACUGGGCGUUAAGUUGCAGGGUAUAGACCCGAAACCCGGUGAUCUAGCCAUGGGCAGGUUGAAGGUUGGGUAACACUAACUGGAGGACCGAACCGACUAAUGUUGAAAAAUUAGCGGAUGACUUGUGGCUGGGGGUGAAAGGCCAAUCAAACCGGGAGAUAGCUGGUUCUCCCCGAAAGCUAUUUAGGUAGCGCCUCGUGAAUUCAUCUCCGGGGGUAGAGCACUGUUUCGGCAAGGGGGUCAUCCCGACUUACCAACCCGAUGCAAACUGCGAAUACCGGAGAAUGUUAUCACGGGAGACACACGGCGGGUGCUAACGUCCGUCGUGAAGAGGGAAACAACCCAGACCGCCAGCUAAGGUCCCAAAGUCAUGGUUAAGUGGGAAACGAUGUGGGAAGGCCCAGACAGCCAGGAUGUUGGCUUAGAAGCAGCCAUCAUUUAAAGAAAGCGUAAUAGCUCACUGGUCGAGUCGGCCUGCGCGGAAGAUGUAACGGGGCUAAACCAUGCACCGAAGCUGCGGCAGCGACACUAUGUGUUGUUGGGUAGGGGAGCGUUCUGUAAGCCUGUGAAGGUGUGCUGUGAGGCAUGCUGGAGGUAUCAGAAGUGCGAAUGCUGACAUAAGUAACGAUAAAGCGGGUGAAAAGCCCGCUCGCCGGAAGACCAAGGGUUCCUGUCCAACGUUAAUCGGGGCAGGGUGAGUCGACCCCUAAGGCGAGGCCGAAAGGCGUAGUCGAUGGGAAACAGGUUAAUAUUCCUGUACUUGGUGUUACUGCGAAGGGGGGACGGAGAAGGCUAUGUUGGCCGGGCGACGGUUGUCCCGGUUUAAGCGUGUAGGCUGGUUUUCCAGGCAAAUCCGGAAAAUCAAGGCUGAGGCGUGAUGACGAGGCACUACGGUGCUGAAGCAACAAAUGCCCUGCUUCCAGGAAAAGCCUCUAAGCAUCAGGUAACAUCAAAUCGUACCCCAAACCGACACAGGUGGUCAGGUAGAGAAUACCAAGGCGCUUGAGAGAACUCGGGUGAAGGAACUAGGCAAAAUGGUGCCGUAACUUCGGGAGAAGGCACGCUGAUAUGUAGGUGAAGUCCCUCGCGGAUGGAGCUGAAAUCAGUCGAAGAUACCAGCUGGCUGCAACUGUUUAUUAAAAACACAGCACUGUGCAAACACGAAAGUGGACGUAUACGGUGUGACGCCUGCCCGGUGCCGGAAGGUUAAUUGAUGGGGUUAGCCGCAAGGCGAAGCUCUUGAUCGAAGCCCCGGUAAACGGCGGCCGUAACUAUAACGGUCCUAAGGUAGCGAAAUUCCUUGUCGGGUAAGUUCCGACCUGCACGAAUGGCGUAAUGAUGGCCAGGCUGUCUCCACCCGAGACUCAGUGAAAUUGAACUCGCUGUGAAGAUGCAGUGUACCCGCGGCAAGACGGAAAGACCCCGUGAACCUUUACUAUAGCUUGACACUGAACAUUGAGCCUUGAUGUGUAGGAUAGGUGGGAGGCUUUGAAGUGUGGACGCCAGUCUGCAUGGAGCCGACCUUGAAAUACCACCCUUUAAUGUUUGAUGUUCUAACGUUGACCCGUAAUCCGGGUUGCGGACAGUGUCUGGUGGGUAGUUUGACUGGGGCGGUCUCCUCCUAAAGAGUAACGGAGGAGCACGAAGGUUGGCUAAUCCUGGUCGGACAUCAGGAGGUUAGUGCAAUGGCAUAAGCCAGCUUGACUGCGAGCGUGACGGCGCGAGCAGGUGCGAAAGCAGGUCAUAGUGAUCCGGUGGUUCUGAAUGGAAGGGCCAUCGCUCAACGGAUAAAAGGUACUCCGGGGAUAACAGGCUGAUACCGCCCAAGAGUUCAUAUCGACGGCGGUGUUUGGCACCUCGAUGUCGGCUCAUCACAUCCUGGGGCUGAAGUAGGUCCCAAGGGUAUGGCUGUUCGCCAUUUAAAGUGGUACGCGAGCUGGGUUUAGAACGUCGUGAGACAGUUCGGUCCCUAUCUGCCGUGGGCGCUGGAGAACUGAGGGGGGCUGCUCCUAGUACGAGAGGACCGGAGUGGACGCAUCACUGGUGUUCGGGUUGUCAUGCCAAUGGCACUGCCCGGUAGCUAAAUGCGGAAGAGAUAAGUGCUGAAAGCAUCUAAGCACGAAACUUGCCCCGAGAUGAGUUCUCCCUGACUCCUUGAGAGUCCUGAAGGAACGUUGAAGACGACGACGUUGAUAGGCCGGGUGUGUAAGCGCAGCGAUGCGUUGAGCUAACCGGUACUAAUGAACCGUGAGGCUUAACCUUACAACGCCGAAGCUGUU